RNAcentral lists this ribosomal RNA (368 nucleotides) under uncultured organism. Its description in RNAcentral is "bacterial SSU rRNA". It matches the Rfam family "Bacterial small subunit ribosomal RNA", at positions 526 to 896 of the family's 1533-position model. The record is from RNAcentral.
CGAAGGUGGCAAGCGUUGUUCGGAUUUACUGGGCGUACAGGGAGCGUAGGCGGUUGGAUAAGUCCUCCGUGAAAUCUCCAGGCUUAACCUGGAAAGUGCAGAGGGGACUGUUCAGCUAGAGGAUGGGAGAGGAGCGCGGAAUUCCCGGUGUAGCGGUGAAAUGCGUAGAGAUCGGGAGGAAGGCCGGUGGCGAAGGCGGCGCUCUGGAACAUUUCUGACGCUGAGGCUCGAAGGCGUGGGGAGCAAACAGGAUCAGAUACCCUGGUAGUCCACGCCUUAAACGAUGGAUGCUAAGUGUCGGCGGGUUACCGCCGGUGCCGCAGUUAACGCAGUAAGUAUCCCGCCUGGGAAGUACGGCCGCAAGGUUG